CUAAAGCAGAAAGAGCAAAUCAGCAUGGAGAAGGUCCCAGAGGAUUAAAUCCGGUUGGAAGGGCAGGUUUUCGUUGCACAGAGCAGUGCAGACAGACUUCCAGGCUCGAACAGCUGCUGAGUGUUGAUGGGUUGGUCUCAGCAAGGAAGAGGAGGUCAGUGUGGCAGCAGUCAGGCGUGUGGGGAGGAAUGUGGCCGACAGAAGGGCUGAGAAGUUAGAUUGGGGCCGUUGAGUGUUACCCAAGAAGGCUCAACCGUCUUCGUCUUCAUGAGUUACUGGGAGUCUGUGAGGAAGUCUGAGGCCUGUGGGGGUUUGAGCAGACUUGGUUGGAAGGCUGGAUCCAGUGGCUCUCAGCAGUGGAUUAGAGUUCAGAGUUCCUCACUGGUUCCUGCCUCAGUCAUCCUUGGGUGUUGCUGGCCAUGAGCUAUAGGUGUUAUUCAAGAACGCACAUGAUUGAGAAGAACUCCACAGCAAGAGAUGCUUGGAUGCCUUCCUAGGAAGAAAGAGUAUUAGAAGG
RNAcentral lists this long non-coding RNA (517 nucleotides) under Heterocephalus glaber (naked mole-rat). Its description in RNAcentral is "lncRNA (ENSHGLG00000045418.1)". Lineage: Eukaryota; Metazoa; Chordata; Mammalia; Rodentia; Bathyergidae. The record is from RNAcentral.